ACCAGCAGCUAUAUCACCCUGCAACUCACAACUGGCGACCCACUGAAGUUCAGCAGGUAUGUGCCUGCUCAGUACCUGGAUGGGAGAUCUCCUGGGAAAAACAAAGGGUGCUGCUGGAA
Molecule: ribosomal RNA, 119 nt
Filed under: Lepisosteus oculatus (spotted gar)
Lineage: Eukaryota; Metazoa; Chordata; Actinopteri; Semionotiformes; Lepisosteidae
Source: RNAcentral